Small nuclear RNA from Echinops telfairi (small Madagascar hedgehog), 125 nucleotides. RefSeq annotates it as U4atac minor spliceosomal RNA. The transcript has a single exon. The record is from RefSeq and is a predicted model, not a curated record. Lineage: Eukaryota; Metazoa; Chordata; Mammalia; Afrosoricida; Tenrecidae.
ACCAUCCUUUUCUUGGGGUUGCGCUACUAUCCAAUGAACGUGUAGUGAGGGUAGUACUGCUAACGCCUUUAAAAAAAAAAAAAAAAGAAAUACAGACUUUUGAAGUUAGCUGAUUCUGUGAUACA